GGGGAUGGUAGUGGCUCAAUGGCAGAGCACCUGCCUUGCGAGCAGAAGGUCCCAGGUUCAAUCCCUGGUGUCUCCA
Molecule: non-coding RNA, 76 nt
Organism: Podarcis raffonei (Aeolian wall lizard)
Lineage: Eukaryota; Metazoa; Chordata; Lepidosauria; Squamata; Lacertidae
Source: the annotation of a RefSeq genome assembly